AAUGCUGAGACAGACUCCCAGAAGAUCUGAGCGAGUCGCGUAGCUGAGCCCGGCAGGGGCUGGGGUCGUGCCGCUGCUAUGAGCUGCACCAUCGAGAAGAUCCUGACAGACGCCAAGACGCUGCUGGAGAGGCUGCGGGAGCACGAUGCGGCCGCCGAGUCGCUGGUGGAUCAGUCGGCGGCGCUGCACCGGCGGGUAGCCGCUAUGCGGGAGGCGGGGACAGCGCUUCCGGACCAGAGCUGUGGAUUUCCUUGGAGGAACACCAGGAUGCUUUGGAACUCAUCAUGAGCAAGUAUCGGAAACAGAUGUUACAGUUAAUGGUUGCUAAAAAAGCUGUGGAUGCUGAACCAGUCCUGAAAACUCACCAGUCUCACUCUGCAGUAAGAAACUUUGAAUAAAUUCGAAAUGAACCAAA
RNAcentral lists this small RNA (415 nucleotides) under Pongo abelii (Sumatran orangutan). RNAcentral describes it as "processed transcript". The record is from RNAcentral. Lineage: Eukaryota; Metazoa; Chordata; Mammalia; Primates; Hominidae.